This 69-nucleotide transfer RNA is filed under the name Dipodomys ordii (Ord's kangaroo rat). It matches the Rfam family "tRNA". From Rfam's summary of the family: Transfer RNA (tRNA) molecules are approximately 80 nucleotides in length. Their secondary structure includes four short double-helical elements and three loops (D, anti-codon, and T loops). Further hydrogen bonds mediate the characteristic L-shaped molecular structure. tRNAs have two regions of fundamental functional importance: the anti-codon, which is responsible for specific mRNA codon recognition, and the 3' end, to which the tRNAs corresponding amino acid is attached (by aminoacyl-tRNA synthetases). tRNAs cope with the degeneracy of the genetic code in two manners: having more than one tRNA (with a specific anti-codon) for a particular amino acid; and 'wobble' base-pairing, i.e. permitting non-standard base-pairing at the 3rd anti-codon position. Lineage: Eukaryota; Metazoa; Chordata; Mammalia; Rodentia; Heteromyidae. The record is from Rfam by way of RNAcentral.
GGGAAUGUGGCUCAGUGGUGAGCGCUUGCCUUGCAUGCAUGAGGCCCUAGGUUCGAUUCCUCAGCACCA